GGUAUGAUGUUCUUUAACAGGUGGAAUAGUCUCAACAAGGAAAGCUUCAUUUCAAAUGCACAUGACCUAAUGCUAAAAGUAUCAUUCCAAAAUGAUGUCACUAAAACGCUUGAAAGAAGCACUAUUGAGAAGUCAAAAUUGCGCGAAACAGAGAGCGUUGAUUGGCUGAUUUGUUAUGAAACGAGUAAAUUAUGCAGUUCGCUUGAUCUCAUGGUGCGAGGACAUCGUAUAGCGUUCAUUUGAUUGACGAAAAGUUACAGAGAAACCGGAGAAAAAAACAUUAUCGAGGCGCCAUUCAAGUGCAACACAAACUUUUGUGAUGAUACAGCACCAUUUGCUAGCGUUGCUGGCGGCUUUCACACUGGUAUUUUCCAAAGUGGUCCAAGCAAAACACAACAUCACCGCAGCCUUGGUUGCGCUCGCGCCGAUACCCGAGGAAACAGAACUGUCAGUCGAUCCUGCCAAGAGCACGGCGACCUUGUUAACACUGAAUUGGCUUCUGGUUGCUAUGAUUACCAUUUUACCCAUAAUCCUCCUGCACAGAAGAUAACGACACAAGGGACGAGUGGUUGGGUUGAUUAGACAAAAAGUAAUUCUAAAGACAGAUUUCUUAAGAUAAUCAUCGCAUAUAUGAGGCAACUAUGGACAAGUUUGAAAAGUUUACAGGUGAUCAUACGUGUUUCAAUAUGCCGAUGACUUUUUCCCGGAUCGUGUCUAUAACGUGGGACGAAACUUAGCCGAUGGUACGACAGUUGUUCGAUGAAGAUACGAUAUGGCUUUAUUGGUUUAUAUCCACAGUGAUGGCAACCCCUAUUUGUGGAUUAAAAAUGUAGAUGUAGAUGGCUCGAUCACCGUCGGCGGCGGCGAUCACCGUCGGUUGUUUUAGAUUAUUUGUAAAUAAUUGCACUUAGUUUUUAUAGGUUUAUUUGAGAACUGUUAUAUCAAAAUAAGUGCAGACAAGAGACCAUGAUACAUCAUGGUCUCUUGGUGCAGAACCGUCGACGUGAACAACGUUAUAUGAUUUUUAGCGACGCACAUUUGCUUUUAUGACAGCGAUGUAAAAUGUGAAGACAAUAAAAAACAUAUCCGAA
This is a long non-coding RNA of Nematostella vectensis (starlet sea anemone), 1091 nucleotides long. RefSeq lists it as uncharacterized. NCBI's taxonomy places the organism in Eukaryota, Metazoa, Cnidaria, Anthozoa, Actiniaria, Edwardsiidae. The record is from RefSeq and is a predicted model, not a curated record. The transcript is spliced from 2 exons.